UGGGGAAUUUUGGACAAUGGGCGAAAGCCUGAUCCAGCAAUGCCGCGUGUGUGAAGAAGGCCUUCGGGUUGUAAAGCACUUUUGUCCGGAAAGAAAUCCUUGGCUCUAAUACAGUCGGGGGAUGACGGUACCGGAAGAAUAAGCACCGGCUAACUACGUGCCAGCAGCCGCGGUAAUACGUAGGGUGCAAGCGUUAAUCGGAAUUACUGGGCGUAAAGCGUGCGCAGGCGGUUUGCUAAGACCGAUGUGAAAUCCCCGGGCUCAACCUGGGAACUGCAUUGGUGACUGGCAGGCUAGAGUAUGGCAGAGGGGGGUAGAAUUCCACGUGUAGCAGUGAAAUGCGUAGAGAUGUGGAGGAAUACCGAUGGCGAAGGCAGCCCCCUGGGCCAAUACUGACGCUCAUGCACGAAAGCGUGGGGAGCAAACAGGAUUAGAUACCCUGGUAGUCCACGCCCAAACGAUGUAACUAGUUGUUGGGGAUUCAUUUCCUUAGUAACGUAGCUAACGCGUGAAGUUGACCGCCUGGGGAGUACGGUCGCAAGAUUAAAAUUCAAAUGAAUUG
RNAcentral lists this ribosomal RNA (562 nucleotides) under uncultured bacterium. RNAcentral's name for it is "partial 16S ribosomal RNA". It matches the Rfam family "Bacterial small subunit ribosomal RNA", at positions 355 to 912 of the family's 1533-position model. The record is from RNAcentral.